AAGUCGUAACAAGGUAUCCGUAGGUGAACCUGCGGAUGGAUCAUUAACACAAACCCUAAACACACUGGUUUCAUCAUUUCAAUUUCUUGAAGUGGUGUCUCCUUUUAAAACCAAACCUAGUGAACCUAGAUAUAUUUUCACCUUACAAUGAAGGAUUUGGGGUUGGGUGAACUAUAAAUUGAAAAAGGAUGGAGAGGUAAAACGAACGCCUGCAGGAAUCACCCCGUACUUACGGCGUUGACAUGACUGAGAAAACAAAUGUGUUGCGACCCAGCACAAUAAAUACUAACAUAUUAUACAACUCUUAACAACGGAUAUCUCGGCUCUC
Molecule: unclassified non-coding RNA, 328 nt
Filed under: fungal sp.
Lineage: Eukaryota; Fungi
Description: partial internal transcribed spacer region
Rfam family: Eukaryotic small subunit ribosomal RNA (bases 1-46)
Source: RNAcentral